This 71-nucleotide microRNA precursor is filed under the name Paramuricea clavata. Lineage: Eukaryota; Metazoa; Cnidaria; Anthozoa; Malacalcyonacea; Plexauridae. The record is from RNAcentral.
UUUGUAUUACGUGCGGAAAUUGUUACCAUUUUCGGCUCAAAAAUGGUAACAAUUUCCGCAUGUAAGGCUAU